Molecule: ribosomal RNA, 1377 nt
Filed under: Triticum aestivum (bread wheat)
Lineage: Eukaryota; Viridiplantae; Streptophyta; Magnoliopsida; Poales; Poaceae
Description: partial small subunit ribosomal RNA
Source: RNAcentral
AUGGAGGACUGGGUGUACUACUCCCUCUCCAUCACCCUGUGCCUCACCCUGUCCCUUGUAUUCUCAUUCCUCUGCAAAUGCAAGGCGGCGGGCUCGUCGUCGUUCCUCCCGCCUGGGCCGACCUCGCUGACGGCUUUCGGCCCGCUGCUGCUGCUCGCCUGGACAAGCGUCAACAUCGAGUCGGUAGUCCGCGUGGCACGUUCAUGGUACGGCCCCGUCUUCACGCUCUACCUCCUCCCCUCCUUCCCUGUCGUGUUCGUCGCCGACCGGGCCGUGGCGCACCGCGUCCUCGUGCAGCUUGGCUCGGCGCGCGCCGCCUCGGGCCUCGUCGACGGCAUCGCGCGCCAGAUGCAUAGCGAAUCAGGGGUCGUCCUCAUCGAGGGGCUCCUGCAUGACGCUGUUUUCCACGUGAUUGCAUGUAUGUGCUUCGGCCAGGGGCUCGACGCCGCCGCCAUCGCAGCAGUCACGUCGCUGCAGAGGCAGUUUCUCAAGGAGGUGGUGGGGUUCCAGGUGUUCGGGUCGAGCCCCAAGGUCAGCAAGCUCCUCUUCUGGCGACGGUACCAGAGGAUGCUGUCCAUGCGCCGGCGGCAGGAGGAGGUGUUCAUCCCUCUGAUACGUGCGUGCCGUGCGCGGCGCAACACCGCCGGCGAGAUCUUUGAAAUGGAUUGCUACGUCGACUCGCUCAUCAGCCUCCGCAUCCCGGAGGAAGAUGGCAGCAGCAGGCACCUGACGGACGGCGAGAUCGUCGCCUUGUGCACCGAACUCUUGUCCGGGCCCGUCGACUCUACGGUAAACAUGUUGCAGUGGGCCAUGGCAAACCUCGUCACACGGCCGGACAUCCAGGCGAAGCUCCGGGCCGAAAUAAACAACGUCGCCGAUGGCCAGGUCCGGGAAGAGGAGCACCUGUCAUACCUCCGGGCGGUUGUCCUGGAGUCACUGAGGCGGCACCCACCGGCGCGCUUCAUCCUGCCGCACGCGCCGUCCGGGGAGAACGGCACGGUGCUGGACGGCUUCACCGUGCCCAAAGAGGUGUCGGUAAAUUUCACGCUGGGCGACAUGGCCAUGGACAGGAAGGUGUGGCCGGACCCCAUGCGGUUCCGGCCGGAGCGGUUCCUGCCCGGUGGCGAGGGGGAGGACUUGGACCUCACGGGGAGCAAGGAGAUCAAAAUGAUGCCGUUCGGUGCCGGUCGCCGGAUGUGCCCUGGCAUCGACGUUUCACUGCUGCACGUCAACCUCCUUGUGGCCACCAUGGUGAGGGCGUUCGAGUGGAGCGAGGUGCCCGGCGAGCCGGUGGACUUCACUGAGACGCUGGAGCUCACCAUAGUCAUGAAGCGCCCGCUCCGUGCCAAGGUCGUGCCAUGCCAUGCUACAUGCUAG